Molecule: long non-coding RNA, 13956 nt
Filed under: Setaria italica (foxtail millet)
Lineage: Eukaryota; Viridiplantae; Streptophyta; Magnoliopsida; Poales; Poaceae
Description: long non-coding RNA (SITA_LNC004043)
Source: RNAcentral
UCGAGAACGGUCACAAAUGUAGGCGAGGUUGAUGCAGUAUACCAUGCUGCAAUUGAAAGCCCAGCUGGAGUCAAGAUCGAAGUUGAGCCGUCUGUUCUUGUAUUCAAUGCUGCAAACAAAAUUCAUACAUUUCAGGUCAAAAUAUCACCUAUGUGGAGGUUACAAGGGGAUUACACAUUUGGAAGCAUUACUUGGUACAAUGGUAAAAAAACAGUGCGAAUUCCAGUAGCAGCCCGGAUCACAAUUCAUGAUUUCUUCGCAGAUGUUGCAUAACUAGGGCGAAACAUGAGAUGACAUCAUAUUGUUCUUGUACUUUUUGAAAGACUAUCAUAGUGUUUUAACUUUUGAGCAUUGUAUAGAAAACAUAAAUAAUUAAGAAGUGCCCAGAUCCAUUAUGGCCUUACUUGUGUAAUCCUUUUUCUUAUCGGAAUCAUAUAAACAGCUGCCAUUGUUGCAGCAGGUUAAAUUUUAAUGAAGUUGUUUGUGCUAUGCAAUCCUAAUAACUAUGUCAAAAUGGAGUUGCUCCUGUACAAGGACUUUUCAUUGAAACUAUACUUAUAUUUGUUGUAAUAGCUUUCAACUUUUGUAUGGAAUCAGCCCUAUAUAAAUACUCUCUCCAGUCAUAAAAACUUGACACUUGUUGACUUUCUAAAAACUUGACACUUGUUGACUUUCUAUUGUCUUCGAGCUACCUUUGACCGAUAUUUUUUUAUAAAUAAGUAUGAAUGUAUGAUAUUAUGAAGGUACUUUUAAUACAUAUCUACACAUGUGAUUUUCGUGUUCCCAAACUAAAACUUAAAAACUAUUGACAAUCAAAGUUUUUAAAAGUUUAAGCAAAUUUUGAUCAAAGCAUCAAGUAUUUUGAUUGAAGACAGUAUAAUUAAUGUGUAUAUCUUUCACUUUUCUCUCAAAUUUUGAUGAAAGAGAAUUUCUAAGAGUCCACCUUCCCUAUUUCUCUAAUGUUUAAAUUGUUGAGGUACCUCGGUUCAUGAGUGGGCCCAAAUUGAGACGGCGGAAAUGAACAAACUAGGUACAAGUCGAGAGGGGAAAGGUCAAAUUUUGCUUUUAAAAGCUGCAUGGAUGGGUGCAGAGGCACGACAAGAUCACCGACGCCUCUUUCUUCUGAGUUGCUCAGUGUUGUAGAUGGAAGUUCACCUAAAUUUGUCUCCUUCGCAUAGGAGACGUGGAUCUUGGCAGUUGCUCCAUCCCUCCUCUCAUGAGGGGCAAAUCCUCCUCCACGACGGUUGUGGGGACCACCCCUUGAGCAUCCACAUUUAUGCAAUUCAGUGCCAUUCCCUAGAUCAGUAUCUGGCACCAGCAAUAGUCGGAAUGAUUAUCCAAGUAAGAAGUAGAGAAAAUAGAAAGAGUUACGACUGUGUCAUCUUCACCUUUAGGGAAUAGCAAGCAAUAAUCAAGACACGGCGGAAUGACGAAAGCUGGCUCUCUAGAAUACUUGGCAAAAUAAGUAAGAUUGAGUACUUUUGCCAGAAAUACUCAGCAAGUAUCUUACCGUUGAAAAGUUAAUGAUAUGUAGGGUGAAUCAAGGAAAGGCUAGGGUUAUAUGUAGAACGUUAUCUAUAUGCAAAGUGUAACACCGUUUGGGCUUUUAAAGGGAAAGUUUUUAUAAUAAUAAUAAUAAUAAUAAUAAUAAUAAUAAUAAUGAUGUUGUUUUGACCCUGGAGGGAAAAACAAAGCCUCCCCUGCCAGUUCCCAUAUUUUAAAGGCAGCGAUCGUCGGGAUCAUGCUUAUUUUAGAGGUACGGUCAUCCGCUCCUUAUACUCUAUUUUUAAAAGGGUGUAACUAAUCAAAGAGAGCUUUAACCAUGUGAGUUCAUGACUGAGAACCGCAGCUACUUGAAUAGAUUAAUUAACUUUGCAGAGCUUGUACACUUUACCAUAUGAUCGGGUAGAUCAUACCAAGGCCUUUGACGGUACUACCCUACAAGAGCCAUACCCACCAGCGUCCAUCUUUGGACGACAUCCUCUAGCUCCAUCCAUGGAUAAUACUGGAACCUAAACAGGGGUUAUUCCACGUCCACUCGUUUGACGCAGCUGGAGCAAGAGUGUCGCCGCCUUACGGAUUCCUUGAGAGUUCAUGAGGAGGCCGCUAAAUCUUUUGCAAAUGAGAGGAGCGACCAUGAAGUUCUUUAGGAGCGACUGGAGAAUCGCUAUAGAUCUUUGAAGCAAAGAUAUCAGGGUGAGUACUCGUGGUUGUUGAGUAAGUUUUACUCAUAGUCGUAGAUUCUGAUCUGCAUGUUGUUUGACACAGAGUUCAAAAGCAAGGAGGCCGCUGCGAGUAGCCAGCUACUUGACUGGAGAAAUGCUCACGACCGGGUAGCCGAUGAGGCUACCCGCCUUAGGGCAUCACUGGCUGAAACUCAGGCGGCCUAUGAGUGUGAGAGGGAUAGAAAGGAUUGGAUGGGAGUGAUGCUGGCGUUGGCUAUGGUGUCCUGUAGAGGCCAUGCUAGAACUGUGGGGAGGCUGGAAAGUGAUCUCCAAGAGUUGACUAGUGCUGCUCAGGACAUAGUCAACGCUAUUGCUCCACCUGAAGAUGAUGCGGAGCCUCACUCGCUAAUCAAGAGACUAAGAGCUGCCCCGGGUAGAGUUGCUGGACUGUGUAAGACUAUCUGCAAGCAAGUCCUUGCAGUGGUCAAGUCGUAUUACCCGAGGGCAAACUUGUCGGCGGCUGGAGAUGGAAUUGCCCAGAACUGCACAGAGGAUGCCUAUGCGCAGUACCUUGAGGAGGCUAAGCCCAUUGCGACAAGGAUGACCGAGUUCAUAUCUUUGGAAGAACCCUAGUCAUUUGAACUCGUUGUAUUUUUUGCCAAACACUUGUACUCAAACUUAGUCAUGUAAAUCUUGCCCUGAGAAAUUCUAAUAUGAUCGAUGAUCUUUGUUGGUUGACCUCGUAGUCGGGAAAACAAAUUCAAGUAACCGAGUAGUCGUAGUAUCCGGUAUGGUCUUCAAUUAUUGGAGUUGCUGUUGGGAGUACUGUAGCUAUUAUUGCCUUGUACUUGAGAGGGUGCAUGGGUACACUGUUUACUUUUAUCCGUGUGCUCAGUGUGGUCACAUGCGUGGGGUUAAGGCGUCUAUCUGGCCCUUGUCAGUAUUUCAGGCUGCUCAUCAUGAGCGAGCAGUAACUGCAAGUAGUUGGCAGUUGUAGCCCUUCGGCUAUAAAUGAGCCCUUGGGUACUCGAUCAGGAUCAUGCCCUUCAGUAUAGCGAUGGCUUGCUUCAUGUUGCUGUUGUUUGAUAGUAGAGAGCUUCCAAUGAGCGUCCCAGUGCUAGAAGAUUCCUCGUGGAUUAGAGCCACCUUCCCUCCAUAGAUUCUUACGCUCGUAGGGAUAGCCGUGAUGCUAGAAGAAUCAUCGUAGGAGCGUUUGUCGCGUGCCUCAUCUUGCAGCUCGUGAUCCAGCUGAGUCCGUGCUGGAACUUGCGGGUGAAGGAUGAUGAGCUCCGCGGUCUUUAUCCGGCUCCCUGAUUAAAGGUGAUGAUUCUCGAGCGAACGCAGGCUUGAUGAUGUCUGGUGCUAGCAAUCUUGCGUGGAGAAACUCGGCGACUGCCCCUACCUGGCGCGCCAACUGUCGGUAUUUUAGACCGGCAACCUGCCUAGGGAGUACCCAAGGUGGUCUUUUGUGCGGUGGGUAUCGUCGAGACUCAAGGAGUCGAUGUUGACGAAAGGAACACGAUUUAGAUAGGUUGAGGCUGCUAGAUCGCAUAAUACCCUACGUCCUGUGUGUAGAUUGUAUUGAUCUUGUUUUCUGUUGUUUGUUGUUUGGAGGGGGUCCCUGCCCGCCCUUAUAUAGUCAGGGGAGCAGGGUUACAGGGCGGAUUGUGUACGAGUCCUAGUUGAGUAUGUUUACAGAGUCCUACUCUAAUUCGGUAGAGUAGUUUCCUUUUGACCCGACUAGUCUUGGGGAGUCCAUGAAGCCUACGCGCUCUGCAGAGUAGUCUUCAUGCCGAAUAGGUUUCGGGUACGUUCCCUUGAGUGGGACAAAUCUUCCGGUGGGCCUAGGGGUGCCUAGCGAACAUAGGGUCAACCAUCUCACGGGGUUUCUCCAUCAUCACCAGAUCGAGGCUUCAUCACAAGUCUAAGGAUGGAAACAUAGCCUUUAAUACAGGGGGAAGAAGGGAGAGUGAGGAGGUCACCUUGCUUGGUGGCGCGGAUGGUGAAUGGAGAGCGAAUAAGGUGACUAGGCGAGGCAAGCGAAGGACAAUGAGAAACACAGGCGGUCGUACCGUUUCAGCUCCACUCCACCUUUACACCCAAGACGAUGGCGGAGGCGCAUGCUUGGGUGAGAGCUACAGGAGGAAGGAGGAGGUUUUGCCUAGGAGGAGGGCACUCGUGGGCCUGAGGUGAAUUAAGCUUUCCUGAGUUUAUGCCCACCAAUAUUAUGGGCUGAUAUUCCGUGAGUUUCUUCGCGUAAUGGAGGCCCAAAGCUAUUGCUGUUCCAGCAAAAACUGACUCUUCAAACUAAGCCUUGAACGGAAACGUCAUCCUAGUUUAAAUGGAGAUCUCAUCUGAGUCCAUGAAUUAUUAAAGUGAUCAACUAGGUCUGCGAUCUAAUAAAGUGUGAUCACGGAGGUCCAUGCGUGUCCACGAAUGCAAUUUUUGCCUACGUGGCGCUGCCAGCGUGGACAUGUGAGCUCAUAAAGUAAGGUGCCGGUUUUCCAUUUCUUGUACACCACUCCCUUCUAUUUUCAGUCUCAUAAUACAUAUUAUCAAUGCCCUAAAAUUGAGAAGAAUACAUCCUCAGUGAUAGUAAGAAACUAUCCUGAGUACCUCUUAAAGGUAGCUUAUUUUGGUAUAAAUUGGUACAUCAAGAUGACAAUACACAAAGGAUAUAUAUAUACUGUAUAAUUGCCUAGUUGGUCACUUCUCACUUGGGGCUAUGAGUUUUGAGUAUGAGUAUUGAGAGAAAUAGUACACAUAUGAUGUUCAAAGUAACAGAUGCAAAGUAACCCAACUAUGCAUGCUUCAGGGUCUAUGGAACUAAGAGCAAAGUAGCAGACAACAGAGCAGCAAGCCAUCAAAUACUAUGAGGCGUGAGCACUGAGCAAACAACGGAGCAAUAGGAAGCUGGAGGGUACAAGAGCAAUAGGAGAUACAUUUGUUCAUUAACCAUCACAGGAGGAGCUCAUCUUUGUUAUCUAGUACAACUUUGAGCGGACGGCCACGGCAGGGACUGAAUCGACAGACGGGCGGCCGGGGCAGAGGAACAGGUGGGCGGCCAAGGCAGGGAUGGACGGACAGGGGCAGAACUUGAGGAGGGAUGGGAUCCGGUGGCAGACCGCGCAUGGCCACGGCAGAGACGGGAUCCAGUGGCGGAUGCGGGAGAUCACUCACGCACGGGCAGGAGGUGGCUCGCUCGAGGAUGGGGUCAAGAGUAGCAGUGAGGGAGAAGGCGAUGCGCUCUGGUGGUUCGGCUGCGAUGGACGACGAGACCGCGGGAGUCCAGAAGGUCGUCGGAAUGAAGCGCGGAGGUGGGAGGUUGGUGGCAAAGAAGGGAAUGGGAUCCGGUGGGUCGGCGGCGGUUGGUGGCGAGGGACCGGGAGAGGUCACCGUGUUAGGGAUCCCCAAAAAGAUAGUCACCCUCAAGGUCAUUAUGUUUAGCAUAUUUCACGUAGCCCCACAAAAUAAGUAGCUUCGGGCGAGGGUCCCUAACCUCGGGGGACAAAUCUGGCAUGAAAGAGUAGUUCUAGCCUCGCCGCGCUGCUAAGAGCUCUGCCUCGAAGCCAAGAGACAAUCACCGAUCACCAGACAAUAACUAAGCUUGCCCUCGAACGCUCGAAGCUAACCCUGAGGCGUCGAGUUGUCUGCUGUCUCGUGCAGGGUUGUUGAAACAAGGAUCAGGGCGCACGGUUGGCGUCUCUCCGGUGCGAAGUUGGAACGGUCUCAAAGCUCGAGGUUAAAAUGGCUUCGGGUCCGAGGUUAAAAACGUGAAGGCGUGAUUCGCAGAAUCGUCUGAGAGCGCGAUUCAUGGAGCUGAUUGGAGGCGUGAGAAGCGUGACUCGCUGGAGGAGACCAAGUCGUACAAGUAAUCUCCAAAUGACCUUCGUGCAUAGCAUAUUCUAAGAAUGUAGUGGUUGAAUAAGGGUAAUUGUGGAAUGUAAAGUGUCCUCCGGGAUACUAUAAAAGUGGAGUCCGACCCUGAUGUAAACUGAGGCUCAUUUUCUUAAGUUAAACCACGAGUGCUUCCCAACAUUAUCGUGUCUUAGUCUCCCUGAGACUUAUUUCCUAACAUGGGCACCCAGCUAAAGACUCGGUCGAGGGCCGCGGUGAAGAAGGGGAUGGCAUCCGUUGGGUCGGCGGUGAGGAAUCUCACCGGAGAGCCUAGCGGCGGCGCGCCAAAGGUCACGACCGCUGGAUGGAGACAGAGGAAUAGAAUGGGAGAGAGAGAGAGAGGCGAGGAGGGGUGGUAGGAGCCGCAGCGAAGCAAUACAGCGUGAAGGAAAUGGAAAUACACAGAGAGUACCUCAGGAGAGAGAGUGUGGCGCGGAUCUAGAGAGGAGAAUGGACGGGUGGGAACGCACGUUCCAAACGGUAAUUUCGCACCGCGCACGGGGCCCGCCCGAGCCCCUGCCCGUGGUCCAUCUAACAAACGCUGCUCUGAACUGAUGACGCAGCGGUCCUCAUGGUCGCGUGGAUGGAGGACGCGUGCUCGGCGACCUCCGUCCCGCUGGGCGUGGCCCAGCAACGUGGCGUCGUCGGCGUCCGCCUCGGCGAGCUGCUCGCACAGGCAUCGGGCAACACGUUAGUCUGCCUUCCGCCGCACGGAGCUCGCCGGCGCUGACCUCGUCGCUGCCUGCUGCUGGAUGACCUCACCGGCACCGGCCGCAUCGACGUGCUCAACUUCGACAUUGGCAUGGGCAGUAGCGGCAACAAGAAGGCAUCCACGAGCCACGGCAGUGUGUACUUUGUAUGUGCAGCAUCGAUGACACAAAUCAAACCCGUGGACUGGAAGCCAUCCAUUGAUAGCAGCAGAUGCGCAUCAAAUCCUAUAUCCGUGCUCAACUUCGACGGGACGUGGAGCACCGCCGCCCGCAUCUACCGCUCUCUGGCCGUGUAACUCGCCCGUGCGGUCGCCAUCGCGCUCACCUGCUUGAGCUCAUCCCUCCGCGCCUUGAUUUUGCCUGCACUUGCUCCGCUACGCCCUCGAUUUCAGUCGCGCCGCAGUGAUUUCGCUCCUGUUCCACCUCCGCCACCACAACGCAAUGACCGCAGGAGCAAAGGAGCUGCCAUGGGUUUUGGACGCACAAGCAAUGGAGCUGCCACGGCUGUCGGAGGUCCAAAUUGUGGUGGGCUCUGUUGCCGUGGCGAUGGACACGCUGCCGCAAGGAUGGUGACCGUGCAGGCAAGGCACACGCCGACGCAGCUGCAGCUGGAAGCGGAAGACAACCGCACGGUGCCAGGCGUCAGGCGUGUGCUCCGUGCUCGGCUGCUCUUGGUUGCCCGCGAUGGUUGCCAGGGUCAUCGACGACCUCAGGUCCUAAGCUACGUUCGCGGAGUAUAUCGAUCUGCAUUCUAUAGGAAGGGGACGGCGGACCGGAGAAGGCCAAGAUUAGAGAUGGCAAUGGGCCGAAACCUGAAACCCGUGGGUUUUUACUCUAUUAGAGUAGAGGCGUGGAUCAAUUUUUCUACCCGUGGAUUUAUUAAUGGGUGGGACCUGUCAGGUUCACGGGCAUGGGUUUGAAAAUAUAAAAUAAAACCCAAACCGUGAACCCAUGGAUUUUUUAGACCCGGCCAUAUACCACCAAAUAAGUCCAUGUUCUUAACCCACACAUCAAUUUUGAUGGCGAAAGCCCAACUCAUAUAUGCAUGUGCUACUUAUUAUCGUAAGUAAAUUGUUAAAAACUGAACUUUGGCAGUUUAAAAUCUAUACUAUGCAUCUAUGUCACUGAUACGAAGUGCUUUUGUUAACAUGUGGUGUUAUGAUUUGAUAAAUCUUAUAUCUUGUCUUACUAUAUUUCUGUUGGUUUACAUCAAUGUUGCAUGCACAUAUAUUAAAUUAUGAAUACCUAUAUGUAUAAGACAAUUUUUUUGCUUGCUUUGGUACCCACGGGCGACCUGUGGAUACCCGUUAACAUGAUGGGUAUGGGUCGGGUCAUGGGGUUUUUAACGGGUAGGUUUUAUAUUCGCGGGUAUAGGUUUGGGAUGGCAAAACCCAGCGAGUUUGUGCCCGUUGCCAUCCUUAGCCAAGACUCAUCCAUGCUGGCAGCGCCAUGUAGGCAAAGGUUGCAUCUGUGGACGCUCAUGGACCUCCACGCAUACUCUUUAAUAUAUCGUGAAUCUGGAUGACCACUUUAAUAAUUCAUGGACCCAGAUAAGAUCUCAGGACCCACCAUGAAAUUCACUCAAUAUUUUUUUUCCGAAAGACACCGCCAUAAAUAAUUUGGAUACUCUUUUUCUUUUUCACGUGGCGAGAAAAGUAGACUGGAUGAUGAACCAUCAUAUAUGACUAAAUCAACGUUUUAAGUGGUAAUAAGGACUAGAUCGAGCAUUGACUUUCCGAACAAAAAUAUUAGAAAAAUGCUGUUAGAAAUAUGUAUACACUUCUGGUUGUAGGACGUAAUCAAGAUUAGCAUGUAGCUCGAAGAAGAUAAGAAGAAAACGAACUCGCCUUAAUAUAGUUUGGGCAUUGUUCCAUGAAAGUUCGUAGCACAUAAACUAAUUUAAGGUGAACAUCAAACACACAAAGAAGACAACUUUGACGAAGUCGAAGUGGUUGGUAGGCUCCCUGCUCUUUGCCGAAGUCUGGUUCUGGCUUUGCCUUGAGAGUUGAGAGGCUGGAUAAACUAUGCUAUAUGAUGUCACGAUCUUCUAAUUCAAUCAAAGUAGGUGUGCUACUAGUAAACAUGAUUAAAUUUUGCAAUGCAGAACUCUUUGAAACCUUCUCUUGUAGAAAGCGCGCGCACACACAUCAAUAUCCAUUCAAGCCACUUGAUGCGAUUUUUUUAGAAAAAGGAAAUAUUUCCGACCUCCACAGCACAUUAAUUAUUACUUUUCUAUCCAUUCUUGCUGAAGAUAUCCAAAGUGAGAACUUUCAACGCUUUGCGUGCCAAACAUAUAAAUGAUUCCUUAUUCCUCAAACUGUAAUAGGGGCCACUUGCUGCGAUGGAUACUCCUUUUUUUUCUUUUCCCGUCAACAGUGUCUUACUUGACUCCGGUGCUUAUAUAGGUGCUUUAUUUUGAGGAAUUAUUAGAUGGUGAAUGGGUCAUAUGGUCCUGAUUUAUGAACCUGCUCUUUCAUGAUUAAUUGACCCAUUAAAUAAAAAAAAUAGAAAAUGGAACCAAAUACAACCUCUGCGACAGCACGCAGCCAAUCUUUACAUAAUUCUCAACUCAUAGGCUGAUCACAAAUAAAAAGAGAAAAGAGCACACAAUCUAAAGGAUAAACUUCAGAGCAAAGUCAAUUAAUGCUUCUCUAUCCGUUCUUGGUCAAUGUGUCCAAAGCCACAGUCUCAAAUGCUCAAAAAUACCUAGGCCUAGGCGUUCGUACUACCGAAUUGAACCGAUCAGUUCCUCGGUUUUUGAUGAAGUUCGGUUCCCAAGAAAGUCGGUACCGAUCGGUUCUUCCAAAAAAUCAGUACCGACGAAGUUCGAUUUCGGUUGUUCCGGUUCCGAAUUGAACUAACCGACCAACUCCAGCUUCCAAAAAAUCAGCGACGCGAUGGACGGCGGCGGCCAGCGGGAGGACGCAGGGGCCCGCUGUGCCGGGACUCCGGGAGGGCGCAUCGGUCACCAGGCGGGAACGCGGUGCCGCGGGAGGACGUAGGGGGGCGCCAGGACUCCGGGAAGUGGGAGGGCGCGAUGCCGCCGGGUGGGGAUGCGGUGCCGCGGGAGGACGCAGGGCCAGCCGACCAGGGUUGGCGCCACCGCGCCGGGACUCCGACGCUGGCGCCGCGGGAGGAUGUAGGGCCAGGGGGGCGCCGCCGCGCUAGGACUCCGGGAGUGCCCACCGGCCGCCGGCUGCCGGGGAUGCGGCGCGGGUGGGGACUCAGGACUGGGAGGCAGCACGAGAGGGGAGAUCGGGAGACUGGAGUGCUAGGUUACUCGCUCGGCCUGCAGACGGACGCAGCGCAGUAGUUCACUAGUUCAAGCUGGGCCGGCCAGUGGGCCUUAUUGGACCUCGGUUCUUCGGUUAGUUAGGGGAGGAACCAAUUUAACCGAACAAAGUUUGGUUCCUAGGAAAUGAGAACCGAACAGGGAGCCGAGAUUUCGGUUCUCGGUUAGUUCGAUUCAGUUCUUGGUUUUUUCAGUUCUGUUCUCGGUUGUUUUUGCCCACGGCUAAAAAUACCCAUUAAACCAAAUGCAACAAGUAAAUGGUUGUAGCAAAUCCCGCUUGCAUUGGUGCCAGUUCAUUGAUUGGGAAUUAUGCUCUUGGUGCCUGUGUAAACGGAAGAGAACAAGUCUAAGAAUUAGUGUAAAUGCACGUCCCCGUUGAAACUGCGUACUACAUUGGUUUGCAACCUGUGGAGUCCUUUAGUACACUUCUUAUGUAGACCAAGAGAACAUAUUGAGUCUUCUUCAUGCAUAUCACGCCUAUAUAAACACCCUGGCCCAUUAAUGGCACCUAUGAGCAAGACAACACUGAAAAGCAUGGGAUUCUAUUCUUCAUGGCGUGCUUCUGCAUCUUCGGCGCUACUGCUUCUCUUCUUUGUGCUGUUACUGGGUGUGCAUGGAGGAUCUCGCAGGGUAAGCAUGCCCGCUAACAGUUGAGUCGUCACUACGACCUAGAGCGGUAUGAUAUUACUCGCUAAAGAAUGUUUCAAAGACAUAAUUUCCAAUCUGCAAUGUUUGCAGCUGUAUAUCGUGUACCUAGGCGAUGUGAAACAUGGACACCCCGAAGAUGUCAUCGCUUCGCACCAUGAUCUUCUCAGUGAUGUUCUUGGAAGGUACGCAUGCAUAUAAUAUAGCCUCUUUCAGCCAGCCCAUUCCCUUUCUCUCGCUCUACUCUAAUUCCAUGAUCGAUCAACACGAUGAUUAGCUAUGUAAAUUUGCUACUUAAUACGUCAUACUGCUGCUCCGAUCCUAAACUUUCAGCAAGGAAGAUUCUUUGGCCUCCGUGGUUCAUAACUACAAGCAUGGUUUCUCAGGCUUCGCAGCUAUGCUUACUGAAGACCAAGCUAAACAGCUCGCAGGUCAGGACUUUCAGUCUUUAAUUUCUGCUCCAACAAGGCCUCGAUCACACUCGCUCGCCCUCUUGCUUACUGCUUGAUCAGUUUUGUGAUCGCUUUGUUCUUCACCUUGUAGUCGUGCAAAAUCAUCAGUAAACUGAUAACCGCGGCUCUGGAUUUGUUAACUCUACAGAGUUUCCAGAAGUCAUCAGUGUCGAACCAAGCAGAAGCUACACGGCGACAACAACUCGAAGCUGGGACUUCCUUGGUCUGAGCUACCAAAUGCCCAGUGAGCUACUACAAAAAAGCAGAUAUGGAGAGGACAUAAUUAUCGGGGUUGUCGACAGUGGUCCGUACCCAAUCCCAUCAUACUUUACGAAAGUGAUCAAUAUAUAUGAUCUCGUUCAGAAACUCGUCUUUUCGCUCUUUUGGUGCCAAAAAUCUUGUGCAAACCGUAAUGUGCAUCAUGCUAAUACACCGUACCUGCUCUAGGUAUCUGGCCAGAGUCGAGAAGCUUCAACGACGAAGGGUACGGACCCGUGCCACCACGGUGGAGAGGCAUGUGCCAAAUCGGAGAGGCCUGGGGCAGCAGCAACUGUAGCCGCAAGAUCAUUGGGGCACGGUUCUACAGCGCCGGAAUUGACGCGAAUCUCCUCAAGUCCGACUACCUGUCGCCACGGGGCGUCAACGGCCACGGCACGCACGCGGCGUCCACCGCGGCGGGCUCGAUCGUGGAAGCGGCCAGCUUUCACGGCCUCGCCGCGGGUGCCGCGCAUGGCGGGGCGCACAGAGCUCGCAUCGCGGUGUACAAGUCCUUGUGGGGCCCUCGCGGUAGGGGCAGCAGCGCCACUGUGCUCGCGGCCAUCGACGACGCGAUACACGACGGGGUGGACGUGCUGUCGUUGUCCCUCGGUGCCCUCCGCGACACAAGCUCGUUUGGUGCCUUGCACGCGGUGCAGAAGGGGAUCACCAUCGUAUACUCGGCCGGGAACGACGGUCCAAGACCGCAGACCAUUGGGAAUACUGCCCCGUGGGUCAUCACCGUAGCCGCGAGUACAAUUGAUCGCUCGUUUCCAACCGUGAUCACGUUGGGAAACAAGCAACAAAUAGUAGUACGGAAUACAAAUGCCACCUCUGAACAAUCACUAAGUCACUACUACUCUUGCAUGAUACUUCUGAUGUAGAAAGAGUAAAAGUUACCGAUCUUGAGAGAAAUCUACCAAUUUUGCAGGGACAAUCUCUCUACUACCAAGAGAAGAACUCAUCCAGGAGCAGUUUCCGAAGCCUUGCCAUUGGCGGCGUUGGAGGCCUGUACGUUAAGUCACUAACUUAAAUUUUACCCUUCUUGAGAUUUCCUACCGUGUCACAUCUUGAAGCUGACCAGAUAAGUUUUGCUUCCUGUGAUUAUUAGCUGCACGGCGGAAGCUCUGAAUGGUACGGAUUUGGAAAGGCGGAUCGUGUUAUGCUUUCCAUCAAACCGAGAACGAGCGCUAACCCCGACCUCGGAAUUCACAAAUGCGUUACAAAACGUCCAGGACGCCGGGGGCUCUGGUCUUGUUUUUGCUCAGUAUACGACCAAUGGUCUAGAUGGAGUCACAGCUAAUUGCCGAGGCAUUGCCUGUGUUCUUGUGGACCUUGACACCGGCUACAAGAUUUUAGAAUAUUACAGGACAACCGCAAGGUAUAACACUUAUGGGUCAAACCAAAAAUUUCAAGUUACUAUGCUCCCGGUGAAUUUCUCUCGGUUCUAUAUUGAGCUGAAUCUUCUCUCAGUAAAUUUCCGAUUGUCUUAAGCAGCUCUGCCGUGGCGAAGAUUGAACCAGCGCGAACCUUUACGAGCAAAGAGUUAUUGGCUCCCAAAGUGGCAGCAUUCUCCUCCAGAGGUCCAUCAAUCCACAACGCUGAUGUUAUCAAGGUAACAAGGUAGCACUACGCAGUUGGCACUACAAGCCAUGACAGGCCAUCUCACUCCAGUUUUGCUUCUUCCUCGACAGCCUGACGUAGCUGCGCCUGGAACCAGCAUCUUAGCAGCAGUCGGAGACAACUACGAGAUUAUGUCAGGGACAUCAAUGGCUGCCCCGCACGUAGCUGGCAUCAUCGCCCUGCUGAAAGCUCUACAUCCACAGUGGUCUCCUGCUGCACUGAAAUCUGCCAUUGUCACCACCGGUAAUUAGGCCGAUCUACCGUAACUUUAGAUAACUUCUGAAAUCAUGAUUAAUUGACUAUUGACUAGGCAACAUGACAUUUGCCUUACCUCUGCUUCAUUUUGCAUGGUGAAGCAUCUGUAACUGACGAACAUGGCAUGCCAAUACUGGCUGAAGGGUUGCCUCGAAAGAUUGCCGACCCAUUCGACUAUGGAGGUGGGCACAUCAACCCUAACAGAGCAGCUGAUCCUGGUCUGAUUUAUGACAUUGAUCCAAACGAUUACAACUACUUCUUUAGCUGCAUCAUCAAAACAUCCGUAAGCUGCAAUGGAACAUCGGUGCCAGGGUAUCUCUUGAACCUGCCAUCCAUCUCAGUUCCAGAUCUGAGAAAUCCAGUUACUGUACCAAGAACCGUCACAAAUGUAGGCGAGGUCGAUGCAGUUUACCACGUUGCGAUUGAGAGCCCGGCUGGAGUCAGGAUUGAAGUUGAGCCGUCUGUUCUUGUGUUCAAUGCCGCAAACAAAGUUCAUACAUUCCAGGUCAAGUUAUCACCUAUGUGGAGGUUACAAGGAGACUACACGUUUGGCAGCAUAACGUGGUACAAUGAUCAUAGGACGGUGCGAAUUCCUGUUGCAGCCCGGAUCACGAUUCAUGAUCUGUUUGCAGAUGUUGCAUAAGAAAGGUGAAACAGGCAAA